This 96-nucleotide Y RNA is filed under the name Microcebus murinus (gray mouse lemur). RNAcentral describes it as "Y RNA (ENSMICG00000041528.1)". It matches the Rfam family "Y RNA". Rfam says of the family: Y RNAs are components of the Ro ribonucleoprotein particle (Ro RNP), in association with Ro60 and La proteins. The Y RNAs and Ro60 and La proteins are well conserved, but the function of the Ro RNP is not known. Lineage: Eukaryota; Metazoa; Chordata; Mammalia; Primates; Cheirogaleidae. The record is from Rfam by way of RNAcentral.
GGCUGGUCUGAUGGCAGCGGGUUAUCAGAACUUAUUAACAUUAGUGUCACUAAAGUUGGUAUACAACUCCACACUGCUAAAUUUGACUGACUUUUU